Molecule: non-coding RNA, 94 nt
Organism: Mycena galopus ATCC 62051
Lineage: Eukaryota; Fungi; Basidiomycota; Agaricomycetes; Agaricales; Mycenaceae
Source: the annotation of a GenBank genome assembly
UCGGGUGUGGCGCACGGUGCGCGGCAACUUGUAAUUAUCCCUAGCCGACGAAGGAUGGAAGUUGCACAUCCGGGUUCGACCCCUGGCGCCCGAA